GACGAACGCUGGCGGCGUGCUUAACACAUGCAAGUCGAACGGACAGGCCCUGCUUUUGUGGGGUGCUCGAGUGGCGCACGGGUGAGUAACACGUGUGUAACCUCCCCUUGUCUUAGGGAUAUCUUUUGGGAACUGCGGCUAAUACACGGUAGAAUCUCUUGCUCCAUGGUGGGGGAUGGUGAGUUUCGGCGGUGCGGGCUGGACUCGAGGCUUAUCAGCUUGUUUGUGAGGUAGUGGCUUACGAAGGCUGCGACGGGUAGGCGGCCUGGGAGGGUGAACGGCGACCAUGCGACUGAGGGACGGACCAGACGGCAACGGGAGGCAACAGUCGGGAAUAUUGCGGAAUGGGCGGGAGCCAGAGGUGGAGACGCUGGGAGCGGAAUGACGGGUUACGGGUUAUAAACCGAUUUCGCCUGUGACGAGGAGUGAGUGACGGUAACGGGUAAAAAAGCAACGGCUAACUACGUG
Molecule: ribosomal RNA, 468 nt
Filed under: uncultured bacterium
Lineage: Bacteria
Description: partial 16S ribosomal RNA
Rfam family: Bacterial small subunit ribosomal RNA
Source: RNAcentral